This 1250-nucleotide ribosomal RNA is filed under the name metagenome. RNAcentral's name for it is "bacterial SSU rRNA". It matches the Rfam family "Bacterial small subunit ribosomal RNA", at positions 261 to 1498 of the family's 1533-position model. The record is from RNAcentral.
CGGCCUACCAAGGCUUUUGACGGGUAGCCGGCCUGAGAGGGUGGUCAGCCACACGGGGACUGAGACACUGCCCCGACUCCUACGGGAGGCUGCAGUCGAGGAUAUUUAGCAAUGGACGAAAGUCUGACUAUGCGACGCCGCGUGAGGGAUGAAGGUUUUCGGAUCGUAAACCUCUUUCGAUGGGGAAGAAGGUCUUGUUGUGAAUAGCGGCAAGACUUGACGGUACCCAGAGAAGAAGCCACGGCCAACUCCGUGCCAGCAGCCGCGGUAAUACGGGGGUGGCGAGCGUUACUCGGAUUCAUUGGGUGUAAAGGGCAGGUAGGUGGUUAUGUAAGUUGGAGGUGAAAUCCUAGGGCUCAACCCUAGAACUGCCUUCAAAACUACAUGACUUGAGGUUGGGAGAGGAGAGCGGAAUUCCCGGUGUAAGGGUGAAAUCUGUAGAUAUCGGGAGGAACACCAGUGGCGAAGGCGGCUCUCUGGCCUAAUCCUGACACUGAACUGCGAAAGCUAGGGGAGCAAACAGGAUUAGAUACCCUGGUAGUCCUAGCCGUAAACGAUGAGCACUAGGUGUUGGGGGUAACCCUUCAGCGCCGCAAGUUAACACGUUAAGUGCUCCACCUGGGGACUACGGCCGCAAGGCUAAAACUCAAAGGAAUUGACGGGGGCCCGCACAAGCGGUGGAACAUGUGGUUCAAUUCGACGCUACGCGAGGAACCUCACCAAGGCUUGACAUGCAGGAAGUAGUGAACUGAAAGGGGAACGACCCGUCAAAUCAGGAGCCUGCACAGGUGCUGCAUGGCUGUCGUCAGCUCGUGUCGUGAGAUGUUGGGUUAAGUCCCGCAACGAGCGCAACCAUCAUCUUUAGUUGCUACUCUUAAAGCCGCAAGGCCGAGAGAGGCACUCUAGAGAGACUGCUCGCGAUAAGCGAGAGGAAGGCGGAGAUGACGUCAAGUCAGUACGGCCUUUAUGCCUUGGGCUACACACGUGUUACAAUGCCCACUACAAAGCGUUGCCAACCCGCGAGGGGGAGCUAAUCGCAAAAAGGUGGGCUCAGUUCAGAUUGGAGUCUGCAACUCGACUCCAUGAAGCCGGAAUCGCUAGUAAUGACAGAUCAGCUACGCUGUCGUGAAUACGUUCCCGGGCCUUGUACACACCGCCCGUCAAGCGAUGGGAGCUGGUGGUACCUGAAGUCUCCAAGCAAUUGGGGCCUAAGGUAAAACUGGUGACUGGCGCUAAGUCGUAACAAGGUA